GACGAACCGUGCGAACGUUAUUCGGAAUCACUGGGCUUAAAGCGCGUGUAGGCGGGACGGCCCGUCGGCCGCUAAAAUCCCCCGGCUUAACCGGGGAAGGGGCGCCGAUACGACCGCCCUGGAGGAACGUAGGGGGAGCUGGAACUUCCGGUGGAGCGGUGAAAUGCGUAGAGAUCGGAAAGAACACCAACGGCGAAAGCACUCUGCUGGGCCGACACUGACACUGAGAGACGAAAGCUAGGGGAGCGAAUGGG
Molecule: ribosomal RNA, 254 nt
Filed under: uncultured bacterium
Lineage: Bacteria
Description: partial 16S ribosomal RNA
Rfam family: Bacterial small subunit ribosomal RNA
Source: RNAcentral